CAUCACAACGUCGAGCAACGUCCAACGAACGUCGUUCGGUGAGAGUAUAAAGAUCUCAAACUACGAAACUCGGCAUUUCGCCUCGAAACUUUAAACCCGUUCCUGCCAAGAGAAACUAAAAGCUCGGGAACUAAGAAAGAGAUAAUUUCUUACGCUUUGAAGACAAAAAAACAGCGUUUGACUUAGUCAAAGCUUGCGAACUCUACAGUUUCUCUUUUCUUUAUGUGUUCAAUCCAGUACUCGAGAAAGACAAAAAUGAACCCAGAAGGACUGCCAUCCAAAGCAAUGAAACGCCAGAAGAAAACAAGGCGCCUCAAGAAAAGAAAACGCCUCGACAAGGAAAUAUUCGACUUCUCUGUUGUUCCAGUGAAGAGAGCGAAAGGAAGAACCGCCGCCCCCGAAAACACCACCCAGUUCUUGAUGGACGAUCAUGAGAAAUUCGAGCCCUUCGUCCUCUCUUCGCCUUCUCUUUCGCCCAACUCAAGCGGUUGUGAAUUCUCAUCGUCCUCAGUACGCGGAAGUCCAGUCUGCGAAAGGGAUCUUCAGUCGGUAACUGAACUUGUUGGUAAUUUUGACGAACUUUACUUCGAGAAAGACUUCAACGAUGUUUACGACUCUAUCCACGCUGAAACACUCCUAGGUCUCAGCAAGCAAGAACUCAUCUACAAAUACAUGGAAUUGGAGAAGAAAGAAGAAAAUCUGUUAAGGCAAGUAAGAGUUCUAAAUGGCGAUUCAUGUUUGAGUCCUUUAAGUUGCGUUUUACGAGCUACGGGAACGUCGAAAGAAGGAGAGAUUAUUACGCCAUCUUUGCUUACGGAGAGCAGGAAAGACGACACCACGAGGGACUUGGUCGCUGAACUUGAAGAAUUACGGAAAGCAAACCACGACCUACACGAAGAAAACGAGAGAUUACGAUCAAAUUCUAUGAGAGGAUGAGUAAAUCCGAAUUUCUAGAUUUUUUUCCGCAAGGUUUGAAAUAUUUCUAUAGUACAAAUGAAAAUUGUAAAAUGACGUGGCGCGAAAAAAAUUCAAUAUGGCUGUGAAAAUAUUUGUUCGAUAAAAAAAACUAUUAACUUAAAUAUCUCGAUGCAUAAAAAUUAAGAUUUUCAGACCAUUUUAGAAAAAAUGUAAGUACUUUUAGGGUCGUGGGAGAAAAUUGAUAUUCAUAAGAACUCUCACCUUAUAAGGUCAUGAAUAUUUAAUAGUUGUGUUGAUUGAUGUACGUGGGAGGCCAGCUGCUUUGCCCACACAGAACUUGCCAUGCAACUUCACACAAGAGUACAAUCUUAUACUGCCAGUGUGUAUACUAUUUCAGGGACAGCUUUAUCUGGAGCAGGGCAUAACACUAGGAUACUCUGCCUUGCUGUGACCAUGAAGCCCUGCCUACUAUCAUUGAUGGCCACUUGCACACCAGCCAUGCUGCUGCCCGUCAGGAGAAGCUGUUGUGAUCCUGUCAACCUGCCUUCUCUGAAGGAGGAUUGCACGGAGGUAUACAACCUUUCUUUUCUUACAUGCAUUGGUUCAUCUACUACCUACAGAGUUAGGUUAUGAAUUCCCCAUCAAUGAUGUUAGUUGGCAUAAUGGUAAUUGAUCUUGUGAACAUUGGUGCUUCAGUAUUCAGGAAAUUUAAAAUUGAAGUCAUAUGAGGUCACAAAACUCCCCGUCCUUCUGACAACCCCUCCUCUUGUGUCACUGUUUCAGUGGGCUAGAUUGGAUGGUGUUUUAUGCUCUUCACCCCAGCAGCUGCUCUUUAUUUUAUUAUCUCAGUGGGUCAGAUGGGGUGGGUCUACUAACGAGUGUUUUUCAGGUGAUGAGAAUAUCGUGAGGUAAUUCAUGCAGACAAAUGGACUCUUGCAAGUAAACAAUUAUGUGUUUACUGUGUUCACUUGCUUUUGUUUAAAUAAACAAACUAUAUGAACCUGAAA
Molecule: RNA transcript, 1925 nt
Organism: Nematostella vectensis (starlet sea anemone)
Lineage: Eukaryota; Metazoa; Cnidaria; Anthozoa; Actiniaria; Edwardsiidae
Gene name: protein HEXIM1
Exons: 2
Source: RefSeq, a predicted model, not a curated record